This 295-nucleotide ribosomal RNA is filed under the name Enterocloster citroniae. RNAcentral's name for it is "[Clostridium] citroniae 23S rRNA. Bacterial LSU". It matches the Rfam family "Bacterial large subunit ribosomal RNA", at positions 2627 to 2925 of the family's 2925-position model. Lineage: Bacteria; Bacillati; Bacillota; Clostridia; Lachnospirales; Lachnospiraceae. The record is from RNAcentral.
CAGUUCGGUCCCUAUCCGGCGCGGGCGUAGGAUAUUUGAGAGGAGCUGUCCUUAGUACGAGAGGACCGGGAUGGACAGACCGCUGGUGUAUCUGUUGGCUUACCAAGGCCAUGGCAGAGUAGCCAAGUCUGGACGGGAUAAACGCUGAAGGCAUCUAAGCGUGAAGCCCCCCUCAAGAUGAGAUAUCCCAUCGCAAGAGUAAGACCCCUUGAAGAAGACGAGGUAGAUAGGUUAGAGGUGGAAGUGCAGUAAUGUAUGUAGCUGACUAAUACUAAUCGGUCGAGGGCUUAACCAA